Molecule: long non-coding RNA, 209 nt
Filed under: Elaeis guineensis (African oil palm)
Lineage: Eukaryota; Viridiplantae; Streptophyta; Magnoliopsida; Arecales; Arecaceae
Description: long non-coding RNA (EGUI_LNC052581)
Source: RNAcentral
UGGGCUGUUCGGGGCCAUGAGGAGUUUGUUACGGAGAGUACUGGAGUGGGUCGUGGCCAUCGCCGUGGCCUGCCACGUGGAGCCUGCUGUGGAGAGUGGAGUGAUGUUCGUUGUCGUGACUUGCCAAAGCAUGAUGGAGCCGCACGGGAUCCGUUAUGGAAAGUGGAGUAGAGUCGCAGCCAUUACUGUGGCCUGCUAGGGAGUCCAGG